CCACCAUUUGACUAGGAGUGGAAACUCUCCUGUACAGAACAGAGGAGGGGGCGGUCUUCCUUUCUCCACACAAGACCUGACCCUCACUUUCUUAGCACUUCAGGCAAGAGAGACGUUCAACAAAGGAAGUAACCACUAACAGCCUGGUCUCCACAAGCAAAGUAAAGCAGAAAAUUGAUGCAAUCUGUCUGGGUCAUUCAAGCAAAAUCCUGCUGUGAUCUGGGUGAUUCGGGUUAAAAUAAAAAUCAGGUUUUU
This is a long non-coding RNA of Neofelis nebulosa (Clouded leopard), 255 nucleotides long. RefSeq lists it as uncharacterized. The record is from RefSeq and is a predicted model, not a curated record. NCBI's taxonomy places the organism in Eukaryota, Metazoa, Chordata, Mammalia, Carnivora, Felidae. The transcript is spliced from 2 exons.